AGCGGCGGACGGGUGAGUAAUGCUUAGGAAUCUGCCAUUUAGUGGGGGACAACAUUCCGAAAGGAAUGCUAAUACCGCAUACGUCCUACGGGAGAAAGCAGGGGAUCUUCGGACCUUGCGCUAAAUGAUGAGCCUAAGUCGGAUUAGCUAGUUGGUGGGGUAAAGGCCUACCAAGGCGACGAUCUGUAGCGGGUCUGAGAGGAUGAUCCGCCACACUGGGACUGAGACACGGCCCAGACUCCUACGGGAGGCAGCAGUGGGGAAUAUUGGACAAUGGGCGGAAGCCUGAUCCAGCCAUGCCGCGUGUGUGAAGAAGGCCUUUUGGUUGUAAAGCACUUUAAGCGAGGAGGAGGCUACCUAGAUUAAUACUCUGGGAUAGUGGACGUUACUCGCAGAAUAAGCACCGGCUAACUCUGUGCCAGCAGCCGCGGUAAUACAGAGGGUGCGAGCGUUAAUCGGAUUUACUGGGCGUAAAGCGUGCGUAGGCGGCUUUUUAAGUCGGAUGUGAAAUCCCCGAGCUUAACUUGGGAAUUGCAUUCGAUACUGGGAAGCUAGAGUAUGGGAGAGGAUGGUAGAAGUCCAGGUGUAGCGGUGAAAUGCGUAGAGAUCUGGAGGAAUACCGAUGGCGAAGGCAGCCAUCUGGCCUAAUACUGACGCUGAGGUACGAAAGCAUGGGGAGCAAACAGGAUUAGAUACCCUGGUAGUCCAUGCCGUAAACGAUGUCUACUAGC
This 731-nucleotide ribosomal RNA is filed under the name uncultured bacterium. RNAcentral's name for it is "bacterial SSU rRNA". It matches the Rfam family "Bacterial small subunit ribosomal RNA", at positions 94 to 820 of the family's 1533-position model. The record is from RNAcentral.